GCGGUUGUGAUGGAAAUGGAAGACAUAGGAGAUUUAAAAUCUCCCGCCUGAUGGCAUGCGGGUUCGAUUCCCGCCUUCCGCACCA
RNAcentral lists this transfer RNA (85 nucleotides) under Caudoviricetes sp. Its description in RNAcentral is "tRNA-Leu". It matches the Rfam family "tRNA". From Rfam's summary of the family: Transfer RNA (tRNA) molecules are approximately 80 nucleotides in length. Their secondary structure includes four short double-helical elements and three loops (D, anti-codon, and T loops). Further hydrogen bonds mediate the characteristic L-shaped molecular structure. tRNAs have two regions of fundamental functional importance: the anti-codon, which is responsible for specific mRNA codon recognition, and the 3' end, to which the tRNAs corresponding amino acid is attached (by aminoacyl-tRNA synthetases). tRNAs cope with the degeneracy of the genetic code in two manners: having more than one tRNA (with a specific anti-codon) for a particular amino acid; and 'wobble' base-pairing, i.e. permitting non-standard base-pairing at the 3rd anti-codon position. Lineage: Duplodnaviria; Heunggongvirae; Uroviricota; Caudoviricetes. The record is from RNAcentral.